UACGUAGGUGGCAAGCGUUACUCGGAAUCACUAGGCGUAAAGCGCAGGUAGGCGGUUUGAUAAGUCUGUUGUGAAAGCUCCCGGCUUAACUGGGAGAGGUCAACGGAAACUGUCAGGCUAGAGUGUGGUAGAGGUAGCUGGAAUUCCCGGUGUAGCGGUGAAAUGCGCAGAUAUCAGGAGGAACACCGGUGGCGAAGGCGGGUCUCUGGGCAGUAACUGACGCUGAGGAGCGAAAGCGUGGGGAGCGAACAGG
RNAcentral lists this ribosomal RNA (253 nucleotides) under uncultured prokaryote. Its description in RNAcentral is "partial 16S ribosomal RNA". It matches the Rfam family "Bacterial small subunit ribosomal RNA", at positions 524 to 776 of the family's 1533-position model. The record is from RNAcentral.